Molecule: ribosomal RNA, 433 nt
Filed under: uncultured bacterium
Lineage: Bacteria
Description: partial 16S ribosomal RNA
Rfam family: Bacterial small subunit ribosomal RNA
Source: RNAcentral
AACGAACGCUGGCGGCAUGCCUAACACAUGCAAGUCGAACGAGACCUUCGGGUCUAGUGCCGCACGGGUGCGUAACGCGUGGGAACCUGCCUUUAGGUUCGGAAUAACUCAGAGAAAUUUAAGCUAAUACCGGAUGAUGUCUUCGGACCAAAGAUUUAUCGCCUUUAGAUGGGCCCGCGUUGGAUUAGCUAGUUGGUGGGGUAAAGGCCUACCAAGGCGACGAUCCAUAGCUGGUCUGAGAGGAUGAUCAGCCACACUGGGACUGAGACACGGCCCAGACUCCUACGGGAGGCAGCAGUGGGGAAUAUUGGACAAUGGGCGAAAGCCUGAUCCAGCAAUGCCGCGUGAGUGAUGAAGGCCUUAGGGUUGUAAAGCUCUUUUACCCGAGAUGAUAAUGACAGUAUCGGGAGAAUAAGCUCCGGCUAACUCCGUG